UACGUAGGCAGCGAGCGUUGUUCGGAGUUACUGGGCGUAAAGAGUGCGUAGGCGGUUUUCUAAGUUUGGUGUGAAAUCUCCCGGCUUAACUGGGAGGGUGCGCCGAAAACUGGAAGGCUUGAGUAUGGGAGAGGUAAGCGGAAUUCCUGGUGUAGCAGUGAAAUGCGUAGAUAUCAGGAGGAACACCUGCGGUGUAGACGGCUUACUGGACCAUAACUGACGCUGAGGCACGAAAGCGUGGGUAGCAAACAGG
This 253-nucleotide ribosomal RNA is filed under the name uncultured bacterium. RNAcentral's name for it is "partial 16S ribosomal RNA". It matches the Rfam family "Bacterial small subunit ribosomal RNA", at positions 524 to 776 of the family's 1533-position model. The record is from RNAcentral.